AGAGUUUGAUCAUGGCUCAGAACGAACGCUGGCGGCGUGCCUAACACAUGCAAGUCGAACGGAUUUGAGGGGCUUGCUCCUCAAGUUAGUGGCGCACGGGUGAGUAACGCGUAGAUAAUCUGCCUGAUGAUCCGGGAUAACACUUCGAAAGGGGUGCUAAUACCGGAUAAGCCCACGGGGUCUUUGGAUUCUGCGGGAAAAGGGGGGGACCUUCGGGCCUUCUGUCAUCAGAUGAGUCUGCGUACCAUUAGCUAGUUGGUAGGGUAAUGGCCUACCAAGGCUACGAUGGUUAGCUGGUUUGAGAGAAUGAUCAGCCACACUGGAACUGAGACACGGUCCAGACUCCUACGGGAGGCAGCAGUGGGGAAUUUUGCGCAAUGGGCGAAAGCCUGACGCAGCAACGCCGCGUGAGUGAUGAAGGCUUUCGGGUCGUAAAGCUCUGUCGAGGGGAAAGAAGUGUAUUGUGGCUAAUAUCCGCGAUACUUGACGGUACCCCUAAAGGAA
Molecule: ribosomal RNA, 504 nt
Filed under: uncultured Geobacter sp.
Lineage: Bacteria; Pseudomonadati; Thermodesulfobacteriota; Desulfuromonadia; Geobacterales; Geobacteraceae
Description: bacterial SSU rRNA
Rfam family: Bacterial small subunit ribosomal RNA
Source: RNAcentral